GUUUCCUUCCCCUCUCUGAUCUCCAGAUGUCUCUUACGCCAAGUGCUGCGGGGAUCCCCGCUCGGGGAGAGGUGCUCAAGGGCUGCCAGGCAAAGAGGAUGCCAUAAGAGAACUCCGGACAACUGAGAAUAACAAGCAAUGUUAAAAAGGGAAAUCAAUGAAGCCAGAAAUCAAAACAUUUCCAUUUCCUUCAGAAACCCACAAAAUUCUCCUUCUUCCCCAGCAGGUAAUCAAGAAGAGAUUUCAAACUGGAAAAAGUAGAGUAU
Long non-coding RNA from Thamnophis elegans (Western terrestrial garter snake), 266 nucleotides. RefSeq lists it as uncharacterized. The transcript is spliced from 2 exons. The record is from RefSeq and is a predicted model, not a curated record. NCBI's taxonomy places the organism in Eukaryota, Metazoa, Chordata, Lepidosauria, Squamata, Natricidae.